Non-coding RNA from Anas platyrhynchos (mallard), 2665 nucleotides. The record is from RefSeq and is a predicted model, not a curated record. Lineage: Eukaryota; Metazoa; Chordata; Aves; Anseriformes; Anatidae.
CCCGCCCCCCGAGCCCCUCCCUCAGGAGCAGCCGCGGGCCCCGGGGCCGGGCAGGGAGGGGCGGGGGCUGGCGGCGCUGCCCCCGGGAGCAGAACGGGCCCUGAAGCGCUGGCGGGGGCGGGGGCGGCGUCCCCGGGGGGUUCGCGCCGGGAGCCGCCGCCCCCGUGGUGCAAGUUCCCGGUGUCCUCGGUCGCGUUUUCGGUAACGGCGGCGGGAGGGGCUCGGGGCGACGGGCGCGGGCGGGGCGGGCGGGCCCGGCGCUGGGCUCACACCCGCCCGCCCCGCCGGUGGCGGCUCCCCCGCGUCCUCCGUGAGCAGCAAGAGCAGGAGGAGGCCCGGAAGGCUCGGGGCAGGGAGGUCGCGGUGACCCUGGCGCCACAAAGCACUGGAAGUCUGAGGACUAACCAAGAGAAGAAAAGAUGUUUGUGAUGGCGACCUCUCGGAUUGUUUUGUAGUGGCUGGCAGCAAACCGAUGCCCCUCUCCAAGAGAUUCUCAGAGGAAGAUGUGGGAGACCCUUUACAGGGACAGCACAAUCUCCUGCAUGCUUCUUGUUGUACAAGCAGCAUUUGCUGCAGUUCCCUGUAGAAGAGCUUUCUCAGAAGCCAGUGAAGUACCAGGCACAGUAAUUUACCAAUAAGAUCCCACACAGUUGAUGUCACCAUGUAAGAGAAGAUGGACAGUACUCUUUCUGACAGGGAUUUAAAAAAAAAAGUUCUUCUCUUUGGAGAGUACAUAAAUAAUGAGAAAAUGAGGUCAUGUGGGAUAAAUUAUAUGAUGGAAUGAGAUAUGGGAUGGAAUGGGGUGUUUGCAAGUCUCCCUGACCAUUCUUAGGGAGAAGCAAAUGCUGCUUCCAGCUGGGAGCUGGCAGGAACAGAACUGUGCGCUGUGCUUCACGCAUCUGGCAGAAGGGCGAGGGAAGGGCACAUGCAGGUAUGUGCUGCUGGUAGUGUACAUCAACCCACAGUAUGUGUGCAUCUGGACACUCAAAGAAUGUUCCAACCUGUCCCUGACACAUAUUAGCAUACUAAGUACUAGAUACAAAAACAUUCAAGGUCAAGCUUUAGACAACUUCCUUCUGUUUUUUGCAGUUCUGAGCUGACUUCUUCCAACACUUGCUGUUCUAGAAGUAUGUCUCUGAAGGGAACAGGACUUUCUUGAAUCUCUGUGAUAAAACGGCAGAAUCUUAGUAACAACAAUAGGACGUGUCACCAGGUUGUAGGUAGUCCUAAGAGCAUGACCAAGCUGAGGCAGCCAUCUAUAAAACCCUUGCUGGGGAGCUGCACCAUCUGUGUCUUCAAGUACAGAGAAUCAGCUACACUUCAGAAGCAUGCCAGGAUCAGUCCCUUUCAAAAAAACUAGUGCCAGGAAGACUGCAGUGAUUUGUGUGGUUUAGGUUCCCUCGUUUUCAGCAGAUUAAAGACUUGGAGGGUAGAGACUGUAGGCCAGUAGCAGCCUGCUGUUUCAUGACCUAGGACAUGGUUUGUGUCUUCUAUCAACAGGGCUAGAGGUAGUGUUAACACAACUGGGAGGGAGGCAUCAAUGAAAAUUCCAGAGACCAUACAAAAGUCAAAUUCUGAUUAGUUUCAUCUGGUCACCAACACCUCCUUUAAGGACAAUGGCAUCUUUAACACAAGAGCAGAGGGAAAACUUAAGUAAGCAAGUUUCAAAUGGCAAAGGGUGUGGGGAAAAUGUAUCAUACCUUCAGCACUUGGUCCUUCCACUGUGCAGGGGUGGAAAUAGGUGGUCCAUGACGUUCCUUCCAAGCCUACAUGUCGUUUUGCUGCUGACUAAAACAAGAAAGACAGUGAGCAAAUGCUGGUUUCACCGCCUACCAGGAAAAGCAACUUCGAGUCAUCAUUUGUAGCAGUAGAGCUACAUCCUGAUAAAAAAUACAUCAAGUUCUCAGUGACCCCUCAUUUCCACAGGAGACGUUGACGACAGCUGUCACCCCAUUAGUCACACUUCAAAAUUCCAAGCCACCUGCCAGGACAGAGAGCAGUGUGCUAACAAAUUUGUUAACAAUGUCACCCUAGAACAAGAGACUGGAGUACUGAGAGAACUCAUGCUUUAAUAGACACUGAAAUCACAAAGGAAGAAGGCCAAAUGCCUUAGCAAUUUCAAUAAAAAUAUGAAAAUCUUUUUACAUGGUAAAUUUCAUAAUAUAAAAAGUUUAAUGCUGUCUGGAAACAGUUUUAAUUUACAAAAAAAGUCCAUAUAGGCCAAACAUGGCUAACACUGCAUACAAGGAGAGCAAGUGCUAAAGGGCUGCUGCUUGGAAGAGUCUUUGCUGACAAUCCUUUCUGAGUUAUCAUCUUCAACGCUCUUUGAAGGAGUUCUGCAACCAAGGGGCCAAGUUUUCCAUGUUCAUUCACAACUUUUCUGGUCUGCAUGGCAAUGCAAUAAAUCCAAACCAUUAUCAUCACCUAGCCUGAAACUACCAGUGUUUCUUUGCAGAUUCACAGAUUUUCUGUCCUCCUGUUCUGCAACUUGGAAGAGAUGGUCACAGAACCAGUUUGAUCUAAUGAGAGGAAAUAUGGCCAAGAGUGAUAUACAUGGGUGUAGCACCCCUUCAAUGCUUUUUCCUUGUUUAAAUAAGGUAUCAUGAAAAAGAAGGAAAAUCAGUAACCAGUCAGAGUUCAGGCUAACCAACAAAAUCAAAUUAAA